This is a non-coding RNA of Lonchura striata (white-rumped munia), 367 nucleotides long. The record is from RefSeq and is a predicted model, not a curated record. Lineage: Eukaryota; Metazoa; Chordata; Aves; Passeriformes; Estrildidae.
UUUCCUUAGAAACUCUGGAUGGAUCUCUUGAUGGAGAUCCCAUUGUUUUCUAACCUUAUUUUUCUCUUUCUUUUUUUUUCUUUUUUUUCCAAACAGCGACAAAAUUUCAUGAGAAGUAGUAUAAGGAAAACAUGCAUCAAUUAUCAACAAAAUAAAUAUGUUAUUAAAUAUUUGUGGUAAGAAAUAAUUAGGAAAGCUAUCAUGAACUCAUGCCAACAUGGAAGGGAGGAGAUGCCAAUGGAGAAAAUUUUUCUGAUAUUAAGAGAAGAGUCUAAACCUUUUGUUUUGAUCCCAAGGUUCAACUGCUUCAGCUUUGCAGGUCUCUUGAAUUCAUCGAUGAAGAAAUGGUGGGUUGUAAAAGAAUGGA